CGGAAAAAUCACGUCUCUCAUUUCAGAGUUCUCCUGGGCAUGAAGAAGGAGACGGCCACCACCUGCUUCUGUGUCUCUGUGUGGUACCAAGAAAAAACCCCGGAAGCCCCAGAGCCCUCUGCUAGGUAGCAGCCAGGGCUGUGGCAUCUCUGCCCAAGCUUCUCCCUGCUGGAUUCAAUAUGAAAGGGUGUUCUGUCUCGAGUUUCAAAGUCCAACACCACCAACACUCCUUCUCAUGUGGCAGCAAAAGUACAACAGGGAUCUCUGCCUUCCCACCUCAGUGCAAUGAAGCCCCACACCGCAGAGCUUAGGAACCCAUGGGAAACCCAUCAUCACCAUGCUUCACCAAAUGCCAUUUGUUUCCAGAAAGGAAGCGAAGUAAACAGCCCUUUGAUUUGUUGCUUCUCAACUUCUAAAGAAAUCUAGCCUGAGAAUCUAGUUCAGAUGAUGUUGAAGGCUGACCCAGCAACCACACCAUUUAUCACCUCCCUGCUUCACACAUACACCUCCUCCUAGCGGACAGAAUCUGCCAUGUCAUAUGGAGACUGCAAAUGACAGCUUUCCUUGCAUUUGGAGCACGAACAUGCAGCCCGCCAUGACCACUGGGAUCCGAAGGGAACUCUACUGAGAAAGGGGUGAGAAAUGGAGGAAGCAAGGCAAGAAGAGCAUAGUUCUUCUCUUUAAUAAAAAGGAUUUGGAGAACAGUUGUCCCUUUCAGCCUUUUUAUGUACAAUUGCUUAAAAUACUAUGCCAAAUGACUUGGCUGCCAUCUUGCAAUCACGAGGGCAAAAAGCUCAAGAACAAAACCCAAUAUUCUGAAGAAGAUGGAACAGAAGGUAGAAGAUCUUGAGACUUCAAUGAUUUUUUUUUUUUUAAAUAUGGAAGGCUUCAUGAAUUUGUGUGUCAUCCUUGUACAGGGGCCAUGCUAAUCUUCUCUGUAUCAUUCCAAUUUUGAUAUCUGUGCUGCUGAAGCAAGCACUUCAAUGACAUUUUAAGCCAUUGAACUAAACCCUUGCCUCUGUAUUUUAUAUUAUGUGGAAUAACUAUUGUACUUCUUAUCAAAUCCAUCUUUAAUUGGGUAGUCUAUUUUGC
Acinonyx jubatus (cheetah) is the source of this 1092-nucleotide long non-coding RNA. RefSeq lists it as uncharacterized. The transcript has 3 exons. Lineage: Eukaryota; Metazoa; Chordata; Mammalia; Carnivora; Felidae. The record is from RefSeq and is a predicted model, not a curated record.